This 430-nucleotide ribosomal RNA is filed under the name uncultured bacterium. Its description in RNAcentral is "bacterial SSU rRNA". It matches the Rfam family "Bacterial small subunit ribosomal RNA", at positions 355 to 776 of the family's 1533-position model. The record is from RNAcentral.
UGGGGAAUAUUGGGCAAUGGCCGAAAGGCUGACCCAGCGACGCCGCGUGCGGGAGGAAGCCCUUCGGGGUGUAAACCGCUGUCAGGGGGGACGAAAGAGGGCGACGGGAAUACCGUCGUCCAGUGACGGUACCCCCAAAGGAAGCACCGGCUAACUCUGUGCCAGCAGCCGCGGUAAUACAGAGGGUGCAAGCGUUGUUCGGAAUCACUGGGCGUAAAGCGCGCGCAGGCGGAUGGUUGCGUCUGGAGUGAAAUUUCGCCGCUCAACGGCGAAGCUGCUUUGGAUACGGACCGUCUGGGGACCGGUAGAGGCUGGUAGAAUUGCAGGUGUAGCGGUGGAAUGCGUAGAGAUCUGCAAGAAUACCCGUGGCGAAGGCGGCCAGCUGGGCCGGAUCCGACGCUGAGGCGCGAAAGCGUGGGGAGCAAACAGG